This 294-nucleotide RNase P RNA is filed under the name marine eukaryotic metagenome. RNAcentral describes it as "Bacterial RNase P class A". It matches the Rfam family "Bacterial RNase P class A", at positions 33 to 352 of the family's 367-position model. From Rfam's summary of the family: Ribonuclease P (RNase P) is a ubiquitous endoribonuclease, found in archaea, bacteria and eukarya as well as chloroplasts and mitochondria. The record is from RNAcentral.
UUAAAUUGGGGAGGAAAGUCCAGACACCACAGAGUACCAUACCGAUUGAAAAAUUGGGCGAAUUUAGCUAAAGCUAAUUUUGACAGAUAGUGCCGCAGAAAAUAAACCGCUUUAAGCAAUUAGAGUAAGGGUGAAAAGGUGCGGUAAGAGCGCACCAGUAUAUUCAGUAAUGAAUUUAGCUUGGUAAACCUUAUGGGGUGCAAGAUCAUGUAAACCAGAGCUUAGAGCUACUCGCUCAAUCUGGAGGGUAGAUUGCACAGUUAAAUGAUAGAUUAAAACAGAAUCUGGCUUAUU